GAUGAACGCUGGCGGCGUGCCUAAUACAUGCAAGUCGAGCGAACAGACGAGGAGCUUGCUCCUCUGACGUUAGCGGCGGACGGGUGAGUAACACGUGGAUAACCUACCUAUAAGACUGGGAUAACUUCGGGAAACCGGAGCUAAUACCGGAUAACAUGUUGAACCGCAUGGUUCAACAGUGAAAGACGGUUUUGCUGUCACUUAUAGAUGGAUCCGCGCCGCAUUAGCUAGUUGGUAAGGUAACGGCUUACCAAGGCAACGAUGCGUAGCCGACCUGAGAGGGUGAGCGGCCACACUGGAACUGAGACACGGUCCAGACUCCUACGGGAGGCAGCAGUAGGGAAUCUUCCGCAAAGGGCGAAAGCCUGACGGAGCAACGCCGCGUGAGUGAAGAAGGUCUUCGGAUCGUAAAACUCUGUUAGGAGGGAAGAACAAAUGUGUAAGUAACUAUGCACGUCUUGACGGUACCUAAUCAGAAAGCCACGGCUAACUACGUG
This 497-nucleotide ribosomal RNA is filed under the name uncultured bacterium. RNAcentral's name for it is "partial 16S ribosomal RNA". It matches the Rfam family "Bacterial small subunit ribosomal RNA", at positions 28 to 507 of the family's 1533-position model. The record is from RNAcentral.